This 1186-nucleotide long non-coding RNA is filed under the name Ursus maritimus (polar bear). Its description in RNAcentral is "lncRNA (ENSUMAG00000023718.1)". Lineage: Eukaryota; Metazoa; Chordata; Mammalia; Carnivora; Ursidae. The record is from RNAcentral.
AAUCAGAGCCUCAUUGUCAAAGAGGCCUUGCCCGGGCUCAUCUGGGACCUGGGCCAGCAGCUGGGAGACCUGAGCCUGGAGUCUGGGGGCCUGGAACAGGAGAGUGGGCGCAGCUCAGGUGAGCGUGCGUGCGUGGAGGGAGCAGGGUCUGCCUGGGCCACUCCCAUCGUGUUCCUACUGCCCACUACCGUGCAGGUUUCCCUGUCUCCACCUCUUGGUCUCUUCCUUUCCCCAUCCCUGGUUGCCCCGUCCAGGCCCCUGAUUGUCUCUCCUCCUCUCCCUGGAAUCCAGGCUUCUAUGAAGACCCCAGCUCCACGGGAGGUCCAGACUCACCACCCUCUACCUUCUGUGGGGACAGUGGCUUCUCUGGAUCUGGCUCCUAUGGACGCCUGGGUCCCUCGGAACCCCGGGGCAUCUAUGCCAGCGAGAGGCCCAAGUCCCUAGGUAAGGUGGGUGGGGUUGGGGCCCUGAGAACCAGGGAAUGGGCAGUAAGAGAAUGGUUUUGAGCACAAGCUUCUGAGUCACGCUGACCUGGAUUCAAACCCUGGCUGUGACAUUCCCUCUUCGUGUAAUUUUGAGCAUGUUGCUUCUUUCGGGGCCUCUGUUUGUCCACCUGUUAAAUGGGAUUAAUAACAGCACCUACCUCGUAGGGAAGUUUUGCGUAUUCAGUGAGCCUCGGCCCCCCCUAACUGCCAUUGGACUUGGCACUUGGUAGCCACUCGUAAACAGCAACUGUUGUUGUUCCUUUAUACAAGUAAGUUUCUGAGCCCCUACUAUGUGCCAGCCUAGCUCUGUUUUAGUGGUGACGGAUGCGACAGUGAAAAAAAAAAAUCCCUGUCCUCAUACAGCUGACUUUCCAGUGGGAGAAAAGGAUCAUAUACAAGAUAAAUAAGAUAUAGACAUAGAGGAUGAGAAGAAAGUUAGGGAAGGGGGUUAGGAAGGACAAUCCCUUUUGAGUUGGGAGGAAGUUGCAAUUUUAGAAGACAUGGCUAGGGAGGGUGUCACUGAGACUCUGACAUUUGAGUGGCACCCCGAAGUAAGUGAUGGGAGUGUGCCAAGGAGAUAGCCUCAGGGAACAGUGUCCCAGGUAGCGGGAACAGCAAGUGCAAAGGCCCUGAGGCUCCUCCCUGAGGAACGUGACUGGCGUGUGCUUCCAGGAGGUCAGUGGAGCUGGAGACCUAGAAUU